Molecule: long non-coding RNA, 443 nt
Filed under: Androctonus crassicauda
Lineage: Eukaryota; Metazoa; Arthropoda; Arachnida; Scorpiones; Buthidae
Source: RNAcentral
CUCAACAGGGCUCCAGUGUCCCAGCUUUCCUUUCCUGGGGUUAGUUCUGGGGAGGUGGAGUUCUCUGCUGAACCUGUCUGGAAUAUCUGGCUCUAGCUGAGGUAGGAGUAUUUUUUAGUUGAGGGAAGUCACCCCAAGCCCCAGCUCCCACUUUUAGGGGCACGUCUGGGAUGGCCAUGCUCAGUAUCCCUUCCAGACAGGUCUUUGCCUCUCCAGUGCCCCCUCUGUGGCUCCUAGGGCUGAACACAUUCUUUGGUAACUGUCCCCCAGUCUCCCCUCCCCUGAGGACCAGGAAGAAUUGGGGCACACCAAGGAAGGGCAAGUGGGCAGCCCCAUUUUGGGGACGUGAACGUUUUAAUAAUUUUUGCUGAAUUCCUUUACAACUAAAUAACACAGAUAUUGUUAUAAAUAAAAUUGUAAAAAAGGAAAAAAAAAGAAAAGGA